This 793-nucleotide ribosomal RNA is filed under the name Bacillus safensis. RNAcentral's name for it is "bacterial SSU rRNA". It matches the Rfam family "Bacterial small subunit ribosomal RNA", at positions 48 to 825 of the family's 1533-position model. The record is from RNAcentral. Lineage: Bacteria; Bacillati; Bacillota; Bacilli; Caryophanales; Bacillaceae.
GCUAUACAUGCAGUCGAGCGGACAGAAGGGAGCUUGCUCCCGGAUGUUAGCGGCGGACGGGUGAGUAACACGUGGGUAACCUGCCUGUAAGACUGGGAUAACUCCGGGAAACCGGAGCUAAUACCGGAUAGUUCCUUGAACCGCAUGGUUCAAGGAUGAAAGACGGUUUCGGCUGUCACUUACAGAUGGACCCGCGGCGCAUUAGCUAGUUGGUGGGGUAAUGGCUCACCAAGGCGACGAUGCGUAGCCGACCUGAGAGGGUGAUCGGCCACACUGGGACUGAGACACGGCCCAGACUCCUACGGGAGGCAGCAGUAGGGAAUCUUCCGCAAUGGACGAAAGUCUGACGGAGCAACGCCGCGUGAGUGAUGAAGGUUUUCGGAUCGUAAAGCUCUGUUGUUAGGGAAGAACAAGUGCGAGAGUAACUGCUCGCACCUUGACGGUACCUAACCAGAAAGCCACGGCUAACUACGUGCCAGCAGCCGCGGUAAUACGUAGGUGGCAAGCGUUGUCCGGAAUUAUUGGGCGUAAAGGGCUCGCAGGCGGUUUCUUAAGUCUGAUGUGAAAGCCCCCGGCUCAACCGGGGAGGGUCAUUGGAAACUGGGAAACUUGAGUGCAGAAGAGGAGAGUGGAAUUCCACGUGUAGCGGUGAAAUGCGUAGAGAUGUGGAGGAACACCAGUGGCGAAGGCGACUCUCUGGUCUGUAACUGACGCUGAGGAGCGAAAGCGUGGGGAGCGAACAGGAUUAGAUACCCUGGUAGUCCACGCCGUAAACGAUGAGUGCUAAGUGUUA